Long non-coding RNA from Varroa destructor (honeybee mite), 3341 nucleotides. The record is from RefSeq and is a predicted model, not a curated record. Lineage: Eukaryota; Metazoa; Arthropoda; Arachnida; Mesostigmata; Varroidae.
AAUUGAUGAAGCUCUUUAACGCAGCGACAGCAGCGGAAGCCGAUAUGACCCGAAAGUGUGCCUGUCACCUAUUCGUACCGUUUCGUCGAUAUCUGUACUUUUUAAAAGGUUUGGCAAGCGUGUCGUUUACUGUUCGGGUAGAACGAGGACCCGGUAAUUCGUGGACUUCAAAAGCGAACGGUAUCGUGGUCGAUCGUUCUUCAAACGAAUAUUUUUCGGCUGGAAGUCUUCGCAUGGAGCCCAUACAGCUCAGGUGGAGGAUUUCAUUCAAUGGAGUAGUUAAACCACUUUGAGGCUAUGGAGAUCCUGUGCGUCUCCCAGCCAUUUUCAUUUGUUCAAUAUAUAGGGACAACGUUGUUAUUAUUGUAAGGAAUAUGGUCAUUGACUGGACAAAAGCAACACUGCGAUUUUCGUAAGCAUUAUUAUAGCGGAAAUUUCGUCCAUGGCUGCACCGAUCACGAUGGCGACUUUCUGGCAUAUUAAAUGGACACAGCCAGAAUCUAGCCGAAACAGCUAGAUCUGUACCCUCAACGACAGGAAAAGUGCUUUUAGAAGUUAAAGGGAUAGAGCUAUACCUCUAGGGACACCGCGGAAGGUUCGGUGAAGAUCACAGGUUAUACAAAGCGUCAAUCAAACGAGCUAUGAUAUGCUGCAGAGUACGAUCCAGACGAUGUGUAAAGGACAUGAACUUCAGAAUGGCCUAGGUCGCAGUUAGCGGCAUAAGUCCGAGGUUGUUGUCUGCACAUUUUAACUACCCGACACUGCGGCAGCAUUGCCUUGGGUGAAAUCGAUCAUUGGAAUCAACUACGAGCAGAAACUACGUCUCGUCCCUUGAAAUUGACGGAAAUCCUCGCAUACCAUCAUAUGUCCAUUAACUCGCCACGCCGAAGAGGAUGCGCUCGCGUAAAAGGCACGUCCUAUCGUUAACUAACUCUGUUUGUCAAAGUGGGUCUCUCACUGGAGGCGGAGGAAGCAGUUUAGCCGUACUGACAAAUAUCGCCCACAACUAUCCAGUUAUGCUCAGUUUCUCAAGGCGUCUGCGUGACAACGACCGCGUAUCGUCCGUGCAAUGUAAUCAAUGAACUGCUUUUGAUUUCUGUGGAGAAUCUGCAAAAGGGCUUCCUGUACCUUAAGUGAAUAACUUGUUGAUCUACUUCAAGGCGUCAUAAAUAGAGAAACUACAUAGGAGAACGCGAAUAGUCGUCCUAUGGCGGCAGAAGUCCCCAGAGCGCUAAAACAACCUUCCAAAAAAGGGUCGGGUCGGCAAUUGCCGAUUCAGAUACGUACAUCGUCAGCAUAAGUGUAAAUGGCCUGUUGAAGAUCAAAUCUAUUAACCUGGACACCAAGAGACUUUAUUAAAAGGGUUGACUCAAACGAAGUUGAGCAAACUUACCAAAGCAAGCUGUUCUUUGCAAGCGAUCUCCGGCUUAAGUCGAAAACUAGUGUGUGUCAAAAACUAAAGAAACCUGACUUCUAUAAAUUGAAAAACAAAGAAACUUUUCUCGACUGUGUAAAUUACAUGGAAUUGGAGAUACUACUAAAGACGACAUAAUAUCAUUCUCUAUGUCGGGACGGUUCGUCGACGACAAAUAUAGUAAUCAAAAGCAACGAUGAUAAAAGGAAAUACGUGUGCAAGCGCGCGCCGUUAAAAUAUGGCAGACUGCCGGUGCACUCGAAAGUUCCGAUCGCGUUGCGAAUGGGCAUUGCUCUCACGUUUCUGAUUGUGCUACAGUAAAGGAACUGCUUGUCGAAGCUCUCCGGCACCCGGAAGUAAUGGCGAUCACGGGCGACGUACACGUAGAGGCAAUCACGUACGGUUCAGUGAACAAUGUGGCCCUUUUUGCCAUAUUGGCACAUAUCGAAGUAAAUUGGUAAUAUGGUGAUGUAGGCUGACUAAUUGACUGGACUGGUUAGACACGGUCGAGCGUUGCCGGGCUACGGGACCGACCGAAAGGUAUAUGACUUCCUUGGUAGUGUCGUGCAAGAGUGAGGCACUCUAAACCCGAAAGUGGGUCGGAGACUGAAAGCCUUCAACUGAAUCGAAUUUGACCCAUACAUCAAUAAAUAUAUGCACAAGUAUACACUGCCUUUCUUUAUCAGGACUAAAAUGGGUAAUCGACUACCAAUUUUGUUAAGGAUUUUCGCCGUUCUUCUAACUGGAAAAGUAUAAUAAAUGCUGAUUGAUUGAUAAUUAUUAGACCACACAGAUAUCAAAUGUACGUUAUUUAUGGCAUCCGACAUAUUGGAACGAGAGAUCGUACCUGUGAUGACGAAGUAAAUCUGUAUCUAAGUUAGCCUGUGUCCACUAUACUGAACAAAUCGUGUUUUUUUUUCCGAUUUUGGUGUCCUUGUGGCACCUUGUAACGACAUCGUUGGCGUCGGAGUAUCACAGUCGAUGCGUCGAAUCUACUACUGGAACAUGGAAAAUAGUAUGUACAGAAAUUAUAGGGCUCGUAAAGAGGUUGAUGAGGCUGUGAUCCAUUUUCAUCCGGGAAUCGCUCUUCGUGGGAGAGGUGCCGCAGUUGCACGCGAAUAUGGUCUCCCCUCGGUCACGGCGCGACACGUAUCUUCCAUUCAGGAGAAAAGGUAUCGCUUGACGGCGAUGACCAUUCACGGCGGAAAAAACGGUGUUUAAUCUAGCCCACUAGUUCUAGCGUAAGAGGGUUCUGGAAAGAAAGACAGUACCUGAGAACAGUCCGAACUCAACUUCAAUAACGAUAGUUGAUGAAAAAGUCAAAUGACUCAUAGACGAUAUAUAAUUAAUCAUUUUGAAUCUAAUCAUGUUGAUAACCGUGCGUGAGAGGCUAAUUAUAGUUCGUCCUUCACUCGUCAUUUGUUCUUCACUAGUGCCGUGCUAGAAGAAUAAAAAAAACAAAAAAAAAAAAGACAAAAAAAUAAAAUUACCUUCAUUAAAUCUAAUUCUUUACGAUUUACGUAAAACGAAACAAUUUUCGCACAGAUUUGUUUAGUAGAGAUAACUAGCUACCCUAAGGUUGGGCUUGAAUUUUAAGAACCUAACUAGAAGCAGCUUCUACGAAUCACACCAAAGAGUCUUACUUUGACAGUUAUUUUCACAAAUUUCCCUGGACGAAAGAUGAACAAAUAUAUUUCAGCUUUAAUCCGUAUCAACGACUCCGUCUAACCUCUCUACCAUAUCUAAAUAGUUUUUUUUUUUCUCCAUCCAAUCGUUUACGGAUGUGUGUUUUCGACAUUGAUUUAUUUGUGUAUUUAGUUGUAAUGACACUUCUACAUGGGUUUACAAUUGGAAAAGGAAGCGGUUCUUGUAGGUAAGUUGUUUAACUUUAAUGGAUCAUUUCAAGCACAAGGUUCGUUAUACCUGA